Molecule: ribosomal RNA, 497 nt
Filed under: uncultured bacterium
Lineage: Bacteria
Description: partial 16S ribosomal RNA
Rfam family: Bacterial small subunit ribosomal RNA
Source: RNAcentral
GAUGAACGCUGGCGGCGUGCCUAAUACAUGCAAGUCGAGCGAACAGACGAGGAGCUUGCUCCUCUGACGUUAGCGGCGGACGGGUGAGUAACACGUGGAUAACCUACCUAUAAGACUGGGAUAACUUCGGGAAACCGGAGCUAAUACCGGAUAAUAUAUUGAACCGCAUGGUUCAAUAGUGAAAGACGGUUUUGCUGUCACUUAUAGAUGGAUCCGCGCCGCAUUAGCUAGUUGGUAAGGUAACGGCUUACCAAGGCAACGAUGCGUAGCCGACCUGAGAGGGUGAUCGGCCACACUGGAACUGAGAAACGGUCCAGACUCCUACGGGAGGGAGCAGUAGGGAAUCUUCCGCAAUGGGGGAAAGCUUGACGGAGCAACGCCGCGUGAGUGAUGAAGGUCUUCGGAUCGUAAAACUCUGUUAUUAGGGAAGAACAAAUGUGUAAGUAAAUAUGCACGUCUUGACGGUAACUAAUCAGAAAGCCACGGCUAAAUACGUG